This 90-nucleotide transfer RNA is filed under the name Stachybotrys elegans. RNAcentral's name for it is "tRNA-Pro". It matches the Rfam family "tRNA". Rfam says of the family: Transfer RNA (tRNA) molecules are approximately 80 nucleotides in length. Their secondary structure includes four short double-helical elements and three loops (D, anti-codon, and T loops). The record is from RNAcentral. Lineage: Eukaryota; Fungi; Ascomycota; Sordariomycetes; Hypocreales; Stachybotryaceae.
GGUCUGGUGGUCUAGUGGUAUGAUUCUCGCUUAGGGACAACCCUGUAGCACGCAUGCGAGAGGUCCCGGGUUCAAUCCCCGGCCAGACCC